Molecule: transfer RNA, 77 nt
Filed under: Acidiphilium sp. CAG:727
Lineage: Bacteria; Pseudomonadati; Pseudomonadota; Alphaproteobacteria; Acetobacterales; Acidocellaceae
Description: transfer RNA-Pro(GGG)
Rfam family: tRNA
About the family: Transfer RNA (tRNA) molecules are approximately 80 nucleotides in length.
Source: RNAcentral
CUGGGUGUAGCGCAGUUUGGUAGCGCGCUUGAAUGGGGUUCAAGAGGUCGGAAGUUCAAAUCUUCUCACUCAGACCA